GGGGCUGUUGCUCAGCGAUAAAGCACUCGCCUAGCAUGUGUGAGGCCCUGGGUUCGAUCCUCAGCACCACA
Molecule: transfer RNA, 71 nt
Filed under: Marmota monax (woodchuck)
Lineage: Eukaryota; Metazoa; Chordata; Mammalia; Rodentia; Sciuridae
Description: tRNA.Ala
Source: RNAcentral